GAGAGAAGCUCGACAGCAACGGUAACUGCUAACUAUCAUCCCCAUGGUUAGACCCCAUGGUUCACUCG
Non-coding RNA from Cololabis saira (Pacific saury), 68 nucleotides. The record is from the annotation of a RefSeq genome assembly. NCBI's taxonomy places the organism in Eukaryota, Metazoa, Chordata, Actinopteri, Beloniformes, Belonidae.